RNAcentral lists this ribosomal RNA (257 nucleotides) under uncultured prokaryote. RNAcentral describes it as "partial 16S ribosomal RNA". It matches the Rfam family "Bacterial small subunit ribosomal RNA", at positions 524 to 780 of the family's 1533-position model. The record is from RNAcentral.
UACGGAGGAUGCGAGCGUUAUCCGGAUUUAUUGGGUUUAAAGGGUGCGUAGGCGGCUUUUUAAGUCAGCGGUGAAAUUUUGCAGCUUAACUGUAACCAGUGCCGUUGAUACUGGGGAGCUAGGACUUGGUUGCUGUGGGUGGAAUGUGUUGUGUAGCGGUGAAAUGCUUAGAGAUCACACAGAAUAUCGAUUGCGAAGGCAGCUCACAAAGCCAAGAUUGACGCUGAGGCACGAAAGUGUGGGAUCAAACAGGAUUA